This 462-nucleotide ribosomal RNA is filed under the name Streptococcus mitis. RNAcentral's name for it is "bacterial SSU rRNA". It matches the Rfam family "Bacterial small subunit ribosomal RNA", at positions 28 to 474 of the family's 1533-position model. The record is from RNAcentral. Lineage: Bacteria; Bacillati; Bacillota; Bacilli; Lactobacillales; Streptococcaceae.
GACGAACGCUGGCGGCGUGCCUAAUACAUGCAAGUAGAACGCUGAAGGAGGAGCUUGCUUCUCCGGAUGAGUUGCGAACGGGUGAGUAACGCGUAGGUAACCUGCCUGGUAGCGGGGGAUAACUAUUGGAAACGAUAGCUAAUACCGCAUAAGAGUAGAUGUUGCAUGACAUUUGCUUAAAAGGUGCAAUUGCAUCACUACCAGAUGGACCUGCGUUGUAUUAGCUAGUUGGUGGGGUAACGGCUCACCGAGGCGACGAUACAUAGCCGACCUGAGAGGGUGAUCGGCCACACUGGGACUGAGACACGGCCCAGACUCCUACGGGAGGCAGCAGUAGGGAAUCUUCGGCAAUGGACGGAAGUCUGACCGAGCAACGCCGCGUGAGUGAAGAAGGUUUUCGGAUCGUAAAGCUCUGUUGUAAGAGAAGAACGAGUGUGAGAGUGGAAAGUUCACACUGUGACG